GUUCAAAAGAAACAGCUUUAGGUAUUGUAAAACAAUGAAAUUCAAGGGGAAUCAGGUGAAGGUAUCAAAAGAAGGCAAUUGUGGGCCAUCCCGACUUUCUUGACUUGAUUUAAAAUCUACUGACUUUCCAGGUCCUUACACGCUCCGUCCCAUAACGGAAGUACAUUCUUCAAGUUUCUUCUCUCCAUAUUGUAAACUUACAUAUGAGGUGAACUUUGGGGACUCUCAGUGGGUAGACCUUGGAGUAGCUGCUCACUUGGUCACUUCCGGGCAGACCCACGCCCUCGUCCCCCACUGGAGAGAAGGGAGCCUGACUGAGAGCAGGGAAGCCUCUGAGGAAGGACUGGCCUUUAGGCAAAGGGCUAGCUCAGGAGAUUUGUUAAGUGCUUUGUAUGUCUUUUUCCAUAGUUGCGGGGGGAGGCUCUGAAGAGCAAAGCUGGAACCGCUUCUGUUGAUCGCUCUUCCUUUCAUCCCAGAUUUGAUUCUCCAUGAUGGACUUGCGGGCUUGCCCUGUCCCAGCCCAAGAGUCCCAGAUUCUGGUAUUACCGGUUGCUGCCCCUUCAAAUCAGCCGCUUACAACUCCAGAUAUCAAUGUUCAGCCUUUCAUGGGGUUGUCUUGCUGUGCGGUUCCCACGAGGACUUCCUGGGCAGAGCUUUGCAUAUCAUGAUAUAUUCUGGCAACUUUCUGCAGGGUCCAUAUGGAACCCAAGGGAAACCUGAAACCCAGGCAUUUCCCACACAGCCAUGUCUCCUGCUUCUACUCUCUGGGUCACUGGCCCUUCACCGCCUCUCUGGUGGCUUUCUCAAGGCUUGGAGCCAGUCCCAGUCCGGCCUUUAGACAGAAGAUCGAGCUCUCUGAGCUGUCAUUCUGAAGCCCCCCACAGGUAAAGGGAUCCAUCUCCAUUCCUUCCUUCAUGAAGUGUGUGUAGGGGGGGUGGUAAUGCUUAGCAUUCCAG
RNAcentral lists this long non-coding RNA (956 nucleotides) under Mustela putorius furo (domestic ferret). Its description in RNAcentral is "lncRNA (ENSMPUG00000029244.1)". The record is from RNAcentral. Lineage: Eukaryota; Metazoa; Chordata; Mammalia; Carnivora; Mustelidae.